This is a long non-coding RNA of Lagopus muta (rock ptarmigan), 7516 nucleotides long. RefSeq lists it as uncharacterized. The transcript has 5 exons. NCBI's taxonomy places the organism in Eukaryota, Metazoa, Chordata, Aves, Galliformes, Phasianidae. The record is from RefSeq and is a predicted model, not a curated record.
GGAUUUGAUAAACUUGUUCACAAAAACCCUAUGAGGCAUUUAUUAAAGGCUAUAAAAACACUCUCAAUCUUAGCCUGAAGGUGUAAUAUGUGUUUAAAUGUGCUGGCUUGGGUUUGUGAGGGAUGUUCCCCUGCACCCUGCCCACCCAGCGCCCCCUUACAAGGCAGAGAAUAUAGAGCUAAUAAUUAGCCUAACCUAAUUUCUUUCCCAUAACAGGAGAGGGAACAGAUUACUUUAAGCUAGCUGUCCUUAGUUGAUCUAGCUGGAAGUGAAAGGACUAACAGAACAAAAGCUGAAGGGAACAGGUUGCGAGAAGCAGGUAACUGUCAAAUGGACUUCAGACUUCUCUUCAUUGUGACCACUUCCUAAAGCAGAAGGGACCAAGAUGUGACUGGCUGUUUGACUGCAACUCACUUCUACUCCUGGCUUGCUUCGAUGGCAGCUGCCAAAUGUAGCCAUGACAUGACGUGGUUUUGGCAGGCUUAGAAGCCUAAGAUGGCUAAAAUGCUUCUCAAUCCUCCACAAACACAAGCACAUACCUGGCAAUUAAAAAGGACUUCAGUUGGAAGCUGAGGAACAAUCACCUGUUACAUUUGCUGGGGGCUUGGGAAAACUUCCUUCUUGAGAGACAUGGCUGGCACUGCAUCUCUGUCAUAGAUAAAAGGAAGGACCCUGCUUGGAAGCACAUAGAUAUUGCACACCAAGUGACAGCACACAAGCUGUUACACAUAUACAUAGCAAAAACCCAUAUGCAUUGAAGAAUGCUCCUACUAACUUCUCCCUCUGGUACUUCAGAUGUCACUCAAGAAUCCGGCCCCCUGAACUGAGACUUUCACAACAUGUUCAUUUUGGUUCAGUACUUUGUGCAAUGCUCACAGACUCAACAAGCCACCAUUAGUUUUCUUAUUGGAAAAGAAUUUUCCUUUAUGGGCAAUUGUUGAAUUACAUGUAAACAUGUAAAUAAGAACAAACAAAUAAGGAAACAAAACGGAGUAUUUUCCUUUGGGCUCACCUCUUCCGAAUUUGCUUGUAGUCCCUGCUGGUCAUGAAGAGUUAUCACAGUUCCUAGAAGUAUUUUGUUGUGCUUGCUCUCCUAUUUCAUUUCUUAAGAUGGUCAUGUGGAAUUUGGCACCACUGUGACAAAAUCAGUCCUCAAAUGCAACAGCUCGAGCAUUUGAUUUCCCAGCUGAGUGUUCCAGAGAGCUCUGGCAAACCACACUGAACAACUGGGAACUGAAGCUAAACUUGCUUUUCUGCUGUAUGAAACAGCAACGACAGCAAUAAUGAUCAGAAGCAACACAAAUGUAGGUGGGAAAAGCAGAAAGCAAUUUGAUUUUCAUCAUGAAAAUAGCACUAAAUAUAAGUGUCUGUUUUCAUUUUGAUCUUAUCUAAAGUAAUUGUACAGAGCUUAGACUCUGCGCAAAUACCUAUUUGAGAAAAAGCUUGGUGGCAGCAGGGCCUUAUCUGAAAAAAUACGGAUAGAUUUUAGGUAAAUGCAAUGGGCCCUUCUGUAAUGCUUUUCUCUUGCUUAGCUUGGGGAAACUAAACAUCACGUAAUUUCAUUGGAGUCCUCGUGUUUAAUCAGUGAAGCACAUUAGCGUUCUGAAGAUAAUACACCAACAACUAAAGGCUGGCAUCUGGAUGAUGUGCUACGAGAUAUGGUUUAGUAGCUUAGUGGUAGUAAUGGUGAUAGGAGGUCAGACUAGAUGAUCUGCUAGGUCCUUUCCAACCUUGUGAUUCCAUGAUUUCUAAAUUUGGCCCAAAGCACAGAGUUGUAUACAAUUUCUAAACUAGAUCGGUCACUGCUUGCUAUUUUCAAGUUAAAAGCUUCCCUUUCCCCCCACCAGUCUACCAUUCAACUUCAACAUAAUCUCUCCGAUUAAAAACAAAACAAAAACAAACCCAUAAAAGCAAACCAAACCAAAACCUGAAUAAAACAAAUAUAUAGAAGUAAGCGUGCUACAGAUGAAAGCAUCUAUUAAAUUGUGCAACAAGAGACUUUGUUUUAGCCACUGACAAUAGUAGCUUUUGCAGAAAUCUACGAGGGCUGCACUGAGAGCAAUAUCUCCUAUUUUAAUAUGCUGGUCCACAUCGGAGGUGGAUGUUGGUAGUAUGGCAGUAGAGGUUGAACCUUCUGCCAAUAUUCUGUUACAUGCUUUUGCUGUGACAGAUGGCAGCAGAGGAGCAGUCUGACAGAACAAAACCUGACAUGGAAGUGUAUAUGAAGCAAAGGGGUGUAAUUGAAUUCCUCCAUGUGGAAAAAAUGGCACCCUCUGACAUUCAUUGACACUUUACUUCUGGAGCAAUUUACACAUCCUCUGAAGAUCUGGCUGUAUGAGUUGUAUAUAGACACCUUACACAUCUCUUUAAUCUUUUUUUCUUCACUCUUUAUGCAGUGAAUACAUAUGUAUGUAUUUGCUUUGCUGAGGCAUUUUGGAAAGCUAUGCAUGCUUAAAUACGAAAUAUGAAUCCAUGGAAGCUGAUGUGUCCACAGAUGGUCCAGCUGAGAUGGAGUACACUCCAUGCUACAUGCUACACUACAAACACUUUAUGACCAUCAGUCUGUUUUCAUUGAAAAAGUGGUCUUAAAAUUUGGUUGGAGAGAGAGUUAAGUUAUGAAACAAACGUCAAAUAGAAGUACUGACUGUGUUUUAGGAGGCAUAUAAGCAUGUCUUGUACUUCAGCCUUCCUCUUCCACCCCCAAUCACUUCUGCUUCAAAACAGUAACCCAGAAGUGCUGCAUGGGCUUCAGGUUGCGAUGGUUUUAAAACAGUAACACAACUGCACUAAGUACUUUCCAAUCACUGAUUUAACACAAAAAAUAUGGUCAUCCCAGUAACCUGAGGUAGGUCUGACCGAAAAAAAAAAAACAACUUCUGAAGAUCAAAAUGUGGCUCUGAAAAACUAUUAGGAAUGUAACUACAGCAGUAUGUUCAAAUAAAGUAAUUUUACAUUCAAACAAAGUAAUUUUGCAUGCUUUUAAAAUGCAAAAGGAUGGUCAUGCUUGCAUCUUGCAGUGGGAUCUAAACAGGGAGAGGAAAGAUGAAAUGGCAGUAGAUUCACUGCCCUGCAGUUUGUUGACAAAUGUAUUUACAAAGAUUUGGCCCAUACUGAAAAAACACACUGACAUCUUGUCCCUCCAUCUAAGAUAUGAUGUGAAGACUCACCUACUUGCUCACAUUUCUGUCCAUCCUUAAAAGCAAUAUUUUUUUUACUCUUCCAAGAUACUCAGCAAAGCCUGCAUAUGAAGAAAAGUAAUUAAAUAGCUUCCUAAAAAUACUGUCCUACCUGCUCUUUGGUUGUGCAAGCACUUCUACAGCACUUACCCAUCUCUCUCUGGACAUUCAAGGUCACUCAAGGAUGCAAACCAGUGGUCAGGCAAUGCAUGAAUAUCUUUUACUUAAUCUUUGACUUGAAAUCAGCCUCACCACCACCAAGAAGUAAAACCAGCAAGUUUUCUAUUUCCUAAGCUUCCCAAGCACAAAGAGCUCAGUCGUUCAGAAACACCAUCAGAACUGCUCACAUUUCCAUGGCAUUGAGAUUCCUGCUGAGACAAUCUGUGUAAUUCUGAGCCCAAACCACAAGUAUUUACUCCCCAAGCGCAGCUUCAGUUCAGCACUGAGACGAGCUUCAUCUUCAGAGUACAGAACUCUCCCAGUGUGAAAUUCAACCUCAGUGUAAUAGAUAUUAAGAUCAAAUUUGCAUAAAGCGCUUAUCUAUCAUACGGCAUUGCUAUCGGAGCAUAUAAUGGAGAGAUCCUUAAGCAGAUACACAUCCCUUAAUCCUCCACAAAAAUGCUUCAUAUUUCUUUCUGAAGGGAGAAACCAACAACAAAUGCAGAAUCAUGAAAAGUACAGUGCAUAGCAAAGCUGUUUUUGAUGAGAUGUUUGUCUUUGUGACAAACAACGAAUUCUAUUAUUGUUAUAACUAGAGCUAAGGAAACGAAAAAAGCCACAAAUAUCAUAAGUGCAAAGGUAUUCUGGCAAUCCUGGGAGACAGCUUGCAGCCUGUUUAAAGGAUAGCAGUAUUUUCUUAUAAAUCCUGCAGUGAUUUCGUAGGAAUCUGUACAGUUUUCCUUUAAAACAGACAACAGAUCCCGAAGGGAGAUUCAGGAGUCAUGAGGUUUUCCCACUCAUUGUGAAUUUAUGCAGUUCUUUAUGAGGCUCUUGUGCUGACUAGCAUUACUCCCCAGUCAAUCUCACAGCGAUUUUAGAAAGGCUGUGGGAAGUUAAAUAUUAUUUGGGCAUAUUAUUGCUCAGUUGACAGUAGCUAUAACUGCCCGUUACUCAGUGUUAACUUACCAAAGGCCAGUCUUUGAAUAAAAUUCUAGAUUCACAAACAGAACCAGCUAGCCCUUACAAUUUGGGAUACAUCUUUGUUUAGACAUUUUUUUUGGUGCAAUUUCUACCUUAUAGAAUGGUGCUUUCUCUGUUGUUUCCUUUACAGUUAUGUCUUUAACACCAUCUCUAUUAUUAAAUCUCUAUCAUCUCUAUUACUAUAUUAAAAUAACAAACCACACAUGCACUUCAAGCUUAAACACAGUUACACUUUCAAUAAGAUUUACUCUAGAGAAGCUGCCUAAAUGAGAACAGCCUUAUUUGGACUCAUAUACUGACUGUAUUUCCACCUACCUGGCAGUUUACAGAACAGAGUAAUAAGUUUACAUAUAAAAAUGGUUUUGCUCAUUAUUCUUCACACCACUAUCAUUCCAUAGCUGUAUAUAGCAUUGGGAAGCAUUUGCAUUUUGCAGACACAAGGCCUUCCCUCUGAUUCCACAGCAGUUUUCAGAGUUUCAGCACAAAACACAGCUGUUAGGGAAACAUGGAGCAGUUCAAAAGAGACGCGAUGGGUGACAGCCAGCACCUUGGUUUGUGCUGGGAAGACUGCUUUCGGUAUUCCCUCACAUACACUCAAGAAAAAAAAUGGCACAUGUCAGGUUCCUCUGGCUCACAGAAGCAAGCCAGCCUCAGUACUGCAGAGCAGUGGGUUUUCCGCCCUGCUCUGAGCUGGAAAGGUCAAUCAGGAUGCACAUGUGCAUACAGGAGCUGCCCACCACAGGACUGGCUCCCCUUACAGACCUCUUCCUCCUGCUCAUCUCUUUUCCCUUUCCCACCCCCGGCCUUCAGUAGCGGUACAGCUACACUUGUCUAACAGUCUCUUAUUAUUUCCAGCACAUACAAAUGAGUGGUGAGAGAUUAUUCCCUACCUUGCAAAGGCGAAUAAAGACACAUAAAGACUCCAUUUAAAAUCAUAGGCUGCCUCUUUGCAAAAUAAAAUCAAAUCUCCGUGUAAUUCAGUGGAGGUAAUGUUUGUCACUUGGCUUUUACCACCAUGGUAAAUCACGGGUUAUUUCUCAUCCCAAACCAGAGAACAUCCUGAUCUGCUAUAGACAUGUUUGCUGGCAACUAACAUUCCACUUCCAAAUCUUCCUUAUGAUUUGUGAUAUAAAUUAAGACUUCAAUUCAGACAAAUGACAAGAGCCAAAAAGACCACCACUACAUUUAAUUCUGAAGCAGUGUCCACAGAAAAAUAGUGUGAAGUGGCUGCACCCCAGGCACAAGAAGGAAUUUCAGACCCCAGCUAAGGUGUUUGUGCUAUUUCCCCAUUCACACUGCCACAGCCAAUAGCUGAGGGUUACAAAUCCCACAGAAAGUGGCAGCUCAUCUAUUUCACUGGCAGCUGCUCCAUCCCCAGAGAUACACGUAUUUCCUUCAGUGAAAACACGAUACAAAACACUCUGCUUUCCUUCUGUGUGAGCUGAACAAGACUCUUGAGAUUUUGGUUUGUCUGCAGUCUGCAAUGAUAUUCCAUCUGUCAGCAUGUAAUAUUUUUUCUUUUAAGCACUGUUGUUUUGUGCAAGACUCGCUAGAAACAUAUUGCUUUAGAUGCCGGAAUACAUCAGAAAGAGCAUCAUUCAUGUCAGGAGUUAACCGUAUUUAACACAGGAGCUGUUGAUCACCACCCUGUGAAUAUCUCCUGUUUUGUGUCAAAACUCAUACUGCUGCACUGCUGUACAAGCAGCCUGCUGCUGAAAGGGCAAUGCCAUUGCGCACUGCAUGUCCUGACCAAGUUUGCAAAGAUGAAUCUCACACUCCUUCAUCCAAACACCCCGAAUUUCACUUAGGACACAGCCUAUAAAGUUUUUCAUGUAGCUCCCAGUACAAACAGGCCAAAUUUAGAGUUGAUACCAUCUUAAAACAGACAGUUAUAAUGAACAUGCUGUUAUUAAUGCUUAUAACUGAAAAAGAAAUCUUCAUUUUGACCCCUCCAAGUACCUACUAGAGGGUGACCCGGAGUUACAGAAUUGGAAGCAAAGGGAUACAGGAGAGUUGGCUGACAUUCAAGCACCACUUCUUUCAAGAUCAGUGCACCUCUGAGAGAAAGAGAUCAGGCAAAAGUGGCAGGAGACCUGCGUGGGUAAGCAAGAAGCUCACUGAAAAACUCAAGAAAGUCUAUGAGGAAGAGGGAUUUGGCCACUUGGGAGGAAUACAGGAAUGCUGUCAGGGCUUGCAGGGAUACAACAACGAAGGCUAGUGUCCAUUUGGAGUUAAAUGCAGCGAGGGAAGUCAAGGACAACAAGAAAGCCUCCUUUAAGCACAUCAAUAGCAAAAGGAAGACUAGGGAAAAUGCGUAUCUGCUGCUGAAUGAGGUGGGUGCCCUGGUAACGAAGGACACCAAGAAGGCAGAUACUGAAUGCCUUCUUUGCUUCGGUCUUUCCUUCUAAGCCUGCCACUCAGGAAUCCCAGAUCCUGGAGACAAGAGAAACUGUGUGGGGAAAGGAAGGCUUCCCUUUGCUUGAGGAAGAUCUGGCCCGUCUAGGCAAACUCAGUGCACAGAAAUCUACGAGCAAAAGGUGGUGCAACCAUGAAUGCUGAGGAAGCUGGUGGUGUCCAGUACAGGCUCCAGUCUUUUUUUAACAUCUCCAUCAAUGAUCUGGAUGAAAGAUCCACGUAUGAUGGAGAAUCAUGAGAGAAUGUACUCUCAUCAAGUUUACUGAUGAUAUGAAGUUGGAAGGAGUGGCUGACAUUACAGAAGGCUGUGCUGCCAUUCAGCAAGACCUGGACAGGCUGGAGAGUUGGCAGGAAGGAAAUUCAUAAGAUUCAACGAAAGCAAGUGAAGAGUCCUUCACCUAGGGAGAAAUAACUGCAGGCAUCAAUACAGGUUAUGGGCUGAGCAGCCAGAGAGGAGCUCUGCAGAAGACCUGGUUGUUCUAGUAGAAAACAAGUUGAUUCACAAGUCAGCAACAUGCCUCUGUGGCCAAGAAGGCCAGUGGUAUCCUUAGGUGUAUUAAAAAGAGUGGGGCCAGCAGGUCAAGGGGAGGUGAUCCUCUCUACUCUGCCCUGAUAAGGCCAGAUCUGUAGUACUGUGUCCAGUUCCAGGCUCCUCAGUUCAAGAAAGACAAGAAACUACUAGAGAGAGUCCAGCAGAGGGCUGGAAAGACAGUGAGGGGCCUGGAGUAUCCAUAAAGGGGAUAAGGAGAGGGGAGGAAAGGCUGAGAGAUCUGAGUAGGGGAAGG